GACUGCUGCUGCUGCUGUCCUCCUCCUCUGCACACCGUACAUUCAGCUAAAACUUUCCAAGAGAGGGCGGGGGCCGUUGGUUUCGUCGCUUCGUGGUACCGCGAAGAGGUGGAAGAGAACAGAGGCACGCCGUGCAGUCGUGUCGCAGUGACACGCACGCACACGCAACACAUUUGAAAGCCGAGCGAGACGCAGGAGACGUGGCCGUCGGAGUAUUCUUGGGUGAUACGCACGCCACUCUCCCGCCCUCCCCGUCGACUCCCUCCUCAGCCUCUCUGAGCGUGUUUGUGGGCAGCACUCUUCCCAGCGCCCUUUCCGCUGUUUCGUCAGAUUGGGUCGUCUUUGCAGAUUACUUCCCCCCACCCUCCCACCCACGAUCCGUUGGCGCCGCGACCAUGCUGUCGUACACCUCUGCGCUGCUGCGGGUGUUCAACCGCAAGAACAAGGCCCCGCAGCGCAUGUCGAACUUCACCAAGGUAACGAAUCUGAACAAAGCCGAAAAGGUGAAGAUUGAGACGGUCGAUGGCGACGUCGUCAAGGGUCGCGGACGUGUGCACCGCCGCUCGCACAGCGGGCUAAAGGAUGCGAUUGAAGAAAUGGAGCACCCGGCCAUCUGGCUAUGGUACCCGUGGCGCAAGAACCCGGAGCCGCCGACGCCGUACAUGCCAUCGCAGCGCGCGCUCAAGAACAUCCACGGCGCCAUCUUCACGAAUCUCAGCCCUAUUCAGAAGAAGAAGCAGGAGCAGAUGCUCUACGGCGUGAACAUCCCCGAGACGCGAGUCAUGCGGUUUGAGCAGCAGCACCCACUCCUCUCGACGGCGCUGAAGCAACUGGAUGGGCAGCCGAAGGGCUUCCCGUUCUGGUACAAGAAAUACCCGACGCGUCGCCACGCCUAUGAGCAGCGCUUCAGCGUACCGACGGAGAUGCUAGAGGGCUACAACGACAGCAUCAAGAAGGCCUUCAGCAUGAGCAUGAUGACGAUCCAAGAGAAGCAGUUUGCACAGGAGGCGAUGUACAUGGAACGGUACGCUGAGCACGACUUCGACACAACCAGCCCGGCCGUUCUGGCGGUGAAGCGGGCACUGAAGGUGCGCGUGCUGCGUAACCACUUGCUGACGAACCCGCACAACAACAUCGUGAAGACGAUCCUGGCAAACACCGAACGGAAGCUAAACCACACCCUUCGCCGGCUUCGCAAGGUGGACUUCAAACGGUACUGGGAGAUAAUCCGCGACCACGAUGUACAGGACGUGCUGCAACCGCCAAACCUCGUGACGUACAGGCAGGGCUCCUACUGGCGGUACGACUGGAACGCAGGGCUGGCGAUCAGCACGCAGCUCGCAGACGUGCUUGACCCUCGUGGCCUCAACGGCUGCGUUGAGACGGGCCGCUCCCGCUCCGAGGUGGCUCGAGACCUCGGUCUCUCCUACACCCGCCCGCUUCAGGAAAACGAGAAGAAGCAGCUCUCGGAACAGGCCGUCUACUACGAGCGGCUGGCGAAGUUCAAGAUGGAGCAGCCGGAGGCGGCACGCGCGCAGGAGCGGGAGCGCUUUGUCCGCAAGUUCUCCGGCAUGUUCCUCAAGAUGGAUAUGAAGUCGGGCGUCCCCGACUUUCCCAGCACGUACCGCAAGCUGCUCGGGACGCAGGUGGCGCGGUGGUCGUCGAAACGGCACGGCCCUAUGUAAGUCACUCGCCGGCGUUUUGCGCGAUGUGCGCUGCGCGGCACGUGCGUGUGCGCGCUGUCUCGCACAGCAGUCCACCUUGGCGACAAAACUCUUUUCGUCAUGUCGCUCUUGUCCCUUCGCUGCGUCUGUGCGUGUCUGCGUGUGUGUGUCUCGCUCACCGUAUCUACACUCUAACC
RNAcentral lists this unclassified non-coding RNA (1861 nucleotides) under Leishmania donovani. Its description in RNAcentral is "gene:LdHU3.20.0700(CDS-product:SSU_ribosomal_prot ein_mitochondrial_putative)". Lineage: Eukaryota; Euglenozoa; Kinetoplastea; Trypanosomatida; Trypanosomatidae. The record is from RNAcentral.